Molecule: ribosomal RNA, 424 nt
Filed under: uncultured bacterium
Lineage: Bacteria
Description: partial 16S ribosomal RNA
Rfam family: Bacterial small subunit ribosomal RNA
Source: RNAcentral
AAUUUUGGACAAUGGGGGAAACCCUGAUCCAGCCAUCCCGCGUGUAGGAUGAAGGCCUUCGGGUUUUAAAGUACUUUUGGCAGAGAAGAAAAGGAAUACCCUAAUACGGGAUGCAGCUGCCGGUAACUACAGAUGAAGCACCGGCUAACUACUUGCCGGCAGCGUCGGUAAUACGUAGGGUGCAAGCGUUAAUCGGAAUUACUGGGCGUAAAGCGUGUGUAGGCUGUUCGGAAAGAAAGAUGUGAAAUCCCAGGGCUCAACCUUGGAACUGCAUUUUUAACUGCCGAGCUAGAGUAUGUCAGAGGGGGGUAGAAUUCCACGUGUAGCAGUGAAAUGCGUAGAUAUGUGGAGGAAUACCGAUGGCGAAGGCAGCCCCCUGGGAUAAUACUGACGCUCAGACACGAAAGCGUGGGGAGCAAACAGG